GUCCCUUAUAUAAUUGGUAAAAAUUUCCUGAUGACUGGGUUGCGUUUGCGUCUGGAGAAGUCGGCAUCAGGGCACGUGGAAGAUGUUCGUCAUGUUUGCGUUUAUCUCACUCAUAAAGACAUCUACUGCUGAUUCUCAUGUUUGCUUUUAUCUCACUCAUAAAGACAUCUACUGCUGAUUCACACAGAAAUCUCGUUCAAGCACUCCCUUCGUAAUGACAGAUUUUCCUUUGCCUUAGGUGAAAUCAAGGUCUAUGAGCCAUAGCCAAUUGGAAGAUCGAUGCAAAGUUAGUCAUAACAACAGAGAGAAAGAUAACCACAGAAAGAAAG
This 329-nucleotide long non-coding RNA is filed under the name Eucalyptus grandis. RNAcentral describes it as "long non-coding RNA (EGRA_LNC002033)". The record is from RNAcentral. Lineage: Eukaryota; Viridiplantae; Streptophyta; Magnoliopsida; Myrtales; Myrtaceae.